UCAGGCAAGCACACAAGGAACAACAUUCUCAUUUGUCUCCACUGAAACUACUGCUUUUGAGCUGACAGUCAUGUCACCAUGAAGACCACAAAGACCUACCAAGACUGCCUCUCAAAGAAACCGUGUCAAGAUCCAGCACCAGGUCUAAGCUCUCCACCCACUGGAGAAUAUGAACACAAGCCUCUCUUCAGGUGAGAGCCUGAGCAAGCAUCUGGAAAGUACUACAAGGGAAUUUUGGAUCCAAAAGGGGAAUGAAUGUGCCAAGCACAGAUCUAGCAGGAAAGAGAGUGUUGCAGAUCAUCACUUGAGAGGCUGAUGGGACACGUGGAGGCAGCUGGGUCCGUGAUGCCCAAUUUGAUCCUCUGGCAAGCCUCCCGGGAGCUGUUUGCCUCCCAUUGACACAGUUUAUAAUCAUCACCUGAUCAAGGAGACCUUUCUCAGCAAGUCUUGAUGCUUGCCUGAUGAAGUGAACUACUCAGGCAGUUCAGGCUGAAGACCAUGGUGAGCACCACAAAGAGCUGCAGUGUCCUAGGACAACUUUUUUCCUGAAGAGUGAUGAAGAAAAUAUUUUAUAAGACACAGAUACAUGCAAAACACAGCCUCUUUAGAUCAGCUCCAGGAUUACAGGUUGCCAUGAAAUGUAGAAUAAAAGAGGAAAGGAUUAUGCCAGGAAAAAAUGAGAAACAGCAGUUUCAUCUCUCAGUCAAGGACCCACCAUUAACAGAGAGAGAAAUUAUAACUUGUGUCCAGAAAGCUUACUGCCUGGCAAUCUUCCUCCCUUUCAUUUGCAGAAUGGCACACUAAAAGCUGGCAAGAUAGACUUUAUGCAAAGCCCUUCUGCAAUAAAGGAAACUUCUCUGCAGACAAAUGUUGGAUUAAACAAAUUCCCUGGUUCAGGUGGUAGGGCACAGAUUUUCCUCCUGUUCUCUGAGAUGGGGCAGCAGCUUCUUACCAGCUGUUGUGCCUACAAACAUUUGUG
RNAcentral lists this long non-coding RNA (979 nucleotides) under Chloebia gouldiae (Gouldian finch). RNAcentral describes it as "Erythrura gouldiae (Gouldian finch) lncRNA (ENSEGOG00005010351.1)". Lineage: Eukaryota; Metazoa; Chordata; Aves; Passeriformes; Passeridae. The record is from RNAcentral.